Non-coding RNA from Triticum aestivum (bread wheat), 163 nucleotides. NCBI's taxonomy places the organism in Eukaryota, Viridiplantae, Streptophyta, Magnoliopsida, Poales, Poaceae. The record is from Rfam.
AUACUUACCUGGACGGGGUCAAUGGCUGACCAAGAAGAGCCAUGGCCUAGGCUAGUGGCCCACAUUGCACUUUGUGGGUGCGCUGGCUUACCAUCUCCCCUUUGAGGGAGAGUGGAUGUCAUAAUUUGUGAUAGAGGGAUGCAAAAUAUCAAUUUUAAGUUUU